Molecule: long non-coding RNA, 235 nt
Filed under: Elaeis guineensis (African oil palm)
Lineage: Eukaryota; Viridiplantae; Streptophyta; Magnoliopsida; Arecales; Arecaceae
Description: long non-coding RNA (EGUI_LNC042915)
Source: RNAcentral
UCCAAAAGUUGGACAAAAUUUAUUACAUCUCUAUUGUAGAGAAUUGAUACAUGGAUUUUAAGAAGAAAAGAGAAGAAAGAGUUCUUCUCAUGAUCUCUUGCGUAGAGAUCAAGAUCCUCCUAUAUCUUUUUGUUCUCUAAGAGUGUCUUAGGAGAAAAGAAGAUUUUCAACCAUCAAGAUGCAAUCUCUGCAAGGGAGCUAGCAUCUCGAUGAGAUCAAAAAGCUUCUGAUCAGA